GGGUGAGUAACACGUGAGUAACCUGCCCUUGACUCUGGGAUAAGCGCUAGAAAUGGCGUCUAAUACCGGAUACGAGCUUCAGCCGCAUGGCUAGGAGUUGGAAAGAAUUUUGGUCAAGGAUGGACUCGCGGCCUAUCAGCUAGUUGGUGAGGUAAUGGCUCACCAAGGCGACGACGGGUAGCCGGCCUGAGAGGGUGACCGGCCACACUGGGACUGAGACACGGCCCAGACUCCUACGGGAGGCAGCAGUGGGGAAUAUUGCACAAUGGGCGAAAGCCUGAUGCAGCAACGCCGCGUGAGGGAUGACGGCCUUCGGGUUGUAAACCUCUUUUAGUAGGGAAGAAGCGAAAGUGACGGUACCUGCAGAAAAAGCACCGGCUAACUACGUGCCAGCAGCCGCGGUAAUACGUAGGGUGCAAGCGUUGUCCGGAAUUAUUGGGCGUAAAGAGCUCGUAGGCGGUUUGUCGCGUCUGCUGUGAAAUCUGGGGGCUCAACCCCCAGCCUGCAGUGGGUACGGGCAGACUAGAGUGCGGUAGGGGAGAUUGGAAUUCCUGGUGUAGCGGUGGAAUGCGCAGAUAUCAGGAGGAACACCGAUGGCGAAGGCAGAUCUCUGGGCCGUAACUGACGCUGAGGAGCGAAAGCAUGGGGAGCGAACAGGAUUAGAUACCCUGGUAGUCCAUGCCGUAAACGUUGGGAACUA
This 700-nucleotide ribosomal RNA is filed under the name Frigoribacterium sp. RNAcentral describes it as "bacterial SSU rRNA". It matches the Rfam family "Bacterial small subunit ribosomal RNA", at positions 104 to 818 of the family's 1533-position model. Lineage: Bacteria; Bacillati; Actinomycetota; Actinomycetes; Micrococcales; Microbacteriaceae. The record is from RNAcentral.